Callithrix jacchus (white-tufted-ear marmoset) is the source of this 107-nucleotide small nuclear RNA. The record is from Ensembl. Lineage: Eukaryota; Metazoa; Chordata; Mammalia; Primates; Cebidae.
GUGCUCGCUUCGGCAGCACAUAUACUAAAAUUGGAACGAUACGGAGAAGAUCAGCAUGGCCCCUGCGCAAGGAUGGCAUGCAAAUUCGUGAAGCUUUCCGUAUUUUG